RNAcentral lists this long non-coding RNA (1012 nucleotides) under Callithrix jacchus (white-tufted-ear marmoset). RNAcentral's name for it is "lncRNA (ENSCJAG00000072660.1)". The record is from RNAcentral. Lineage: Eukaryota; Metazoa; Chordata; Mammalia; Primates; Cebidae.
GAUACAGACUUGUUAACACAAGGGCUAUGAGGGUGGGAAGGUAUAAGAACAGCUAGUUUUCUUGUAUGCUUGUGCAAGGCUAUUUUUUUGUUUGUUUGUUUGUUUUGGCUUUUUCUGAGAUGGAGUCUUGCUCUGUCACCCAGCUGGAAAGAGGUAAAGCCAAGAUUCAGAGUCAGCAACGUCUGACUCUAAAGACAAUAGUCUUUUUUGUUGUUGUCGUUAUUGAUGGAGAUUCAGGCAUCCCAGGCUGUGGAGAGGAUACCUAUCUAUGAAGGCUGAAAACCACUUGGCCGGGUAUUACUUGCCAUUUUUCACAGUGCUCCCCAACCUCAGUGGUAAGCUUAUAGGCAUUGAAAUACAUUGCUUCAUAAUUCACAUGCUAGGCAUUAAGUGUGCCUGAGAAGAUAUGCCUGGAAUUCCCCACCACAUUCAGGAAUAUUUCACCUGUGUGAAAUGACACUGUGAGUGUCCUCAGAACAAUUAUUUCUAUAAAAUGAUGUAACUGAAAUGUGGCCUUUUAAAAAGGAAUGUGAUCAGGCUGAAUUUGGAUACAGUUAUUUGAGACACUGAAUCAUCCAACUUUUAUUAGAUCCAGGAGAUGGUCACCAUAGUUUUCUGCCUGGGAAUUUAUGAUCAAGUUUUGGAUUUUUCCCCCUCAUUCUGGAGGAAAAAAAGGGGUUAAUCUGUAGAUAAUGUGUCCCCAUCCAUGUGAAUUAUGUGUUAAAUCUAGAAGAAGGAAAUCAGCAACGUACACAGCAGACCCAACACUGGGGAAGGCAGAUUCCCCCUCCUCAACUUUCCCUGCAGGUUUUUGACUCCAUUUUAUCUUGGAAGGCAAUUAACUAAGCAUCAAAGCCCAAAGUGACAAGACCCUAAUAAUAACUAUGGGAAAGACAUGGUAUUGUGCAGUAGCUAAGAACUUGGAGUGUCUGAAUUUAUAUUUAUGCUCAUUUUAUCAUUCAUUUAGCAGACACUUAUUAUAUACCUACUAAGUACCAGGCACUGUUUCGUA